This 116-nucleotide ribosomal RNA is filed under the name Escherichia coli. Lineage: Bacteria; Pseudomonadati; Pseudomonadota; Gammaproteobacteria; Enterobacterales; Enterobacteriaceae. The record is from RNAcentral.
CCUGGCGGCCUUAGCGCGGUGGUCCCACCUGACCCCAUGCCGAACUCAGAAGUGAAACGCCGUAGCGCCGAUGGUAGUGUGGGGUCACCCCAUGCGAGAGUAGGGAACUGCCAGGC